CGGUGUUCAACUGGCGUGUCCGCGGGACGUCCUGCCGGUGGGCUUAGCCCGCAAGGGCGGCCCAACUUCAAAUCCCAUCGCGGUGCUCUUCACUGAGUGUCGAGGUGGGCCGGCACGUUUACUUUGAACAAAUUAGAGUGCUUAAAGCAGGCUAAAACUUCGCCUGAAUACUGUGUGCAUGGAAUAAUGGAAUAGGACCUCAGUUCUAUUUUGUUGGUUUUCGGAACCCCGAGGUAAUGAUUAAUAGGAACGGAUGGGGGCAUUCGUAUUGCGACGUUAGAGGUGAAAUUCUUGGAUCGUCGCAAGACGGACAGAAGCGAAAGCAUUUGCCAAAAACGCUUUCAUUGAUCAAGAACGAAAGUUAGAGGUUCGAAGGCGAUCAGAUACCGCCCUAGUUCUAACCAUAAACGAUGCCAGCUAGCGAUCCGUCGACGUUCCUCCGAUGACUCGACGGGCAGCUUCCGGGAAACCAAAGCUUUUGGGUUCCGGGGGAAGUAUGGUUGCAAAGCUGAAACUUAAAGGAAUUGACGGAAGGGCACCACCAGGAGUGGAGCCUGCGGCUUAAUUUGACUCAACACGGGAAACCUCACCAGGCCCGGACACCGGAAGGAUUGACAGAUUGAGAGCUCUUUCUUGAUUCGGUGGGUGGUGGUGCAUGGCCGUUCUUAGUUGGUGGAGCGAUUUGUCUGGUUAAUUCCGAUAACGAACGAGACUCUAGCCUGCUAACUAGGCGUAUUUUCGACAUCUCAAAGGUCCGUCGUCCCGGUCCUCGGGUCGUGGGCGUGCGCGAUUUUUACUGUCGGCGUACUAUCAAUUCUUCUUAGAGGGACAGGUGGCUUCUAGCCGCACGAGAUUGAGCAAUAACAGGUCUGUGAUG
RNAcentral lists this ribosomal RNA (877 nucleotides) under uncultured eukaryote. RNAcentral describes it as "SSU rRNA". It matches the Rfam family "Eukaryotic small subunit ribosomal RNA", at positions 636 to 1469 of the family's 1831-position model. The record is from RNAcentral.